AACACUCAUCUCGCAUGGACCUGCGGAUAGCCCCGGUCGUCAGUGAAACCUCUCCGCGCCUCUGCGGUGAAAUCACUCUUCCCGCAGCCGAACGACGACGACCUCCUUCUUCGCCCGGUCGAUCCCGUAGAGCGUGCCGGGGUCGGUCCGGUCCCAGACGAAGGCCUGGCCGGUGAGAGGGCAGGGGAUCGUUUCGAGGUAGUCGAGCGUCGCGCCGG
RNAcentral lists this unclassified non-coding RNA (218 nucleotides) under plant metagenome. RNAcentral's name for it is "partial contains 5.8S ribosomal RNA, internal transcribed spacer 2, and large subunit ribosomal RNA". The record is from RNAcentral.